UACGUAGGGUGCGAGCGUUAAUCGGAAUUACUGGGCGUAAAGGGUGCGCAGGCGGUUCUGCAAGUCAGGCGUGAAAGCCCCGGGCUUAACCUGGGAAUGGCCAUGGAAACUGGCGAACUGGAGUGUGGCAGAGGGGGGUGGAAUUCCGCGUGUAGCAGUGAAAUGCGUAGAGAUGCGGAGGAACACCGAUGGCGAAGGCAGCCCCCUGGGCUAGCACUGACGCUCAGGCACGAAAGCGUGGGGAGCAAACAGG
This 253-nucleotide ribosomal RNA is filed under the name uncultured bacterium. RNAcentral's name for it is "partial 16S ribosomal RNA". It matches the Rfam family "Bacterial small subunit ribosomal RNA", at positions 524 to 776 of the family's 1533-position model. The record is from RNAcentral.